AGAGUUUGAUCCUGGCUCAGGAUGAACGCUAGCGGCAGGCUUAAUACAUGCAAGUCGAGGGGCAGCAUGAGUGUAGCAAUACAUUUGAUGGCGACCGGCAAACGGGUGCGGAACACGUACACAACCUUCCUAUAAGUGGGGAAUAGCCCAGAGAAAUUUGGAUUAAUACCCCGUAACAUAAUGAUGUGGCAUCACAUUAUUAUUAUAGCUACGGCGCUUAUUGAUGGGUGUGCGGCUGAUUAGAUAGUUGGCGGGGUAACGGCCCACCAAGUCUACGAUCAGUAGCUGAUGUGAGAGCAUGAUCAGCCACACGGGCACUGAGACACGGGCCCGACUCCUACGGGAGGCAGCAGUAAGGAAUAUUGGUCAAUGGACGCAAGUCUGAACCAGCCAUGCCGCGUGAAGGAUUAAGGUCCUCUGGAUUGUAAACUUCUUUUAUCUGGGACGAAAAAAGGCUAUUCUUAGUCACUUGACGGUACCAGAUGAAUAAGCACCGGCUAACUCCGUGCCAGCAGCCGCGGUAAUACGGAGGGUGCAAGCGUUAUCCGGAUUCACUGGGUUUAAAGGGUGCGUAGGCGGGCAGGUAAGUCAGUGGUGAAAUCCUGGAGCUUAAUCCAGACUGCCAUUGAUACUAUCUGUCUUGAAUAUUGUGGAGGUAAGCGGAAUAUGUCAUGUAGCGGUGAAGUGCUUAGAUAUGACAUAGAACACCUAUUGCGAAGGCAGCUUACUACGCAUAUAUUGACGCUGAGGCACGAAAGCGUGGGGAUCAAACAGGAUUAGAUACCCUGGUAGUCC
RNAcentral lists this ribosomal RNA (795 nucleotides) under uncultured bacterium. RNAcentral's name for it is "bacterial SSU rRNA". It matches the Rfam family "Bacterial small subunit ribosomal RNA", at positions 8 to 796 of the family's 1533-position model. The record is from RNAcentral.